AACAGGGAUUGCCCUAGUAACGGCGAGUGAAGCGGCAACAGCUCAAAUUUGAAAUUGGCCCUUGGGCCCGAGUUGUAAUUUGCAGAGGAUGCUUCUGGCGCGGUGCCUUCCGAGUUCCCUGGAACGGGACGCCACAGAGGGUGAGAGCCCCGUAUGGUCGGACACCAAGCCUGUGUGAAGCUCCUUCGACGAGUCGAGUAGUUUGGGAAUGCUGCUCAAAAUGGGAGGUAAAUCUCUUCUAAAGCUAAAUACCGGCCAGAGACCGAUAGCGCACAAGUAGAGUGAUCGAAAGAUGAAAAGCACCUUGAAAAGGGGGUUAAACAGUACGUGAAAUUGUUGAAAGGGAAGCGCUUGUGACCAGACUUGCGCCGGGCGGCUCAUCAGGGGUUCUCCCCUGUGUAUUCCGCCCGGUUCAGGCCAGCAUCGGUUGUUGCCGGGGGAUAAGAACGGCGGGAACGUGGCUCCCCUCGGGGAGUGUUAUAGCCCGCCGUACGAUACCCUGGCGGCGACCGAGGUUCGCGCUCCGCAAGGAUGCUGGCGUAAUGGUUACUAGCGACCCGUCUUGAAACACGGACCAAGGAGUCGUCCAUUAGAGCGAGCGUUUGGGUGUAAAACCCGCACGCGUAAUGAAAGUGAAAUUAGGUGAGAGCUUCGGCGCAUCAUCGACCGAUCCUGAUGUUCUCGGAUGGAUUUGAGUAAGAGUUUUAACGGACGGACCCGAAAGACAGUGAACUAUGCUUGUAUAGGGUGAAGCCAGAGGAAACUCUGGUGGAGGCUCGCAGCGGUUCUGACGUGCAAAUCGAUCGUCAAAUAUGAGCAUGGGGGCGAAAGACUAAUCGAACUGUCUAGUAGCUGGUUACCGCCGAAGUUUCCCUCAGGAUAGCAGUGUUGACCUUCAGUUUUAUGAGGUAAAGCGAAUGAUUAGGGACUCGGGGGCGCUCUUUAGCCUUCAUCCAUUCUCAAACUUUAAAUAUGUAAGAAGCCCUUGUUACUUAGUUGAACGUGGGCAU
Molecule: ribosomal RNA, 1010 nt
Filed under: Greeneria kielmeyerae
Lineage: Eukaryota; Fungi; Ascomycota; Sordariomycetes; Diaporthales; Melanconiellaceae
Description: Greeneria sp. JTS-2019a partial large subunit ribosomal RNA
Rfam family: Eukaryotic large subunit ribosomal RNA
Source: RNAcentral